GACGAACGCUGGCGGCGUGCUUAACACAUGCAAGUCGAACGGAAAGGCCCUGCUUUUGUGGGGUGCUCGAGUGGCGAACGGGUGAGUAACACGUGAGUAACCUGCCCCUGACUUUGGGAUAACUUCAGGAAACUGGGGCUAAUACCGGAUAGGAGCUACUGCUGCAUGGUGGGGGUUGGAAAGUUUCGGCGGUUGGGGAUGGACUCGCGGCUUAUCAGCUUGUUGGUGGGGUAGUGGCGUACCACGGGAUUGAAGGGUAGCCGGCGUGAGAGGGUGACCGGCGACAUGGGAACUGAGAUACGCCCCAGAAGCGAACGGUAGGCAGCGGUGGGGAACAUUGCGCAAUGGGCCGAAGCCUGUUGCGGCAACGCCGCGUGCGGGAAGACGGCCUUCGGGUGGAAAACCGCUUUCGCCUGUACCGAGGCGUUAGUGACGGUAAUGGGUAAAGAAGCACCGGCUAACUACGUG
This 468-nucleotide ribosomal RNA is filed under the name uncultured bacterium. RNAcentral's name for it is "partial 16S ribosomal RNA". It matches the Rfam family "Bacterial small subunit ribosomal RNA", at positions 28 to 507 of the family's 1533-position model. The record is from RNAcentral.